CCCAUUAGGGUUCAGGUGAUGGUCUAACCUGCUGUGCCUCCUCCAUCAUGGGCUUGAUGAACACUGACUGGAUUUGAAUGCCCAAAAGUCUGGGACUGAGUCAAGCUGUCUGGAACUACUGUCUGGAAGAGCCUCUUCCCCAUCCCAGCAACUGUACCCAUCAAUCAGGAACUGUUGCUGAACCCAGGGCUGCCUGGAUAAACAUUUAUAAGACCCAGAGGGAUCAUUAGUGGAGGGUAGAGGAUGUCUUUGCUUGAACCCAAGUCCAAAACUGAACUCACCCUUUGCCCUUUAACUCAUAGAAAUUCAAAUGAGGCAAAGGUGAGGAGAGAGAACAACUUAAAUCAGUGGUUCUCAACCUUGUCUGCACCUUAGAAUCUCUAAGGAGCUUUUAAGAAUUCAGAUGCCUACGCUGUUCUCUAGAAGGAUGGAAUCAGAAUCUCUGGGGGUGGAACCCAGGCAUCUGUAUUUUUCAAAGCUCCCCAGGUGAUUCCAAUGUGCAGCCAAGGUUGAGAAUCAUAGACUCAAAUAGUGCUUGGAGUUCC
RNAcentral lists this long non-coding RNA (545 nucleotides) under Pan troglodytes (chimpanzee). RNAcentral describes it as "long non-coding RNA NONPTRT016650". Lineage: Eukaryota; Metazoa; Chordata; Mammalia; Primates; Hominidae. The record is from RNAcentral.